This 1001-nucleotide long non-coding RNA is filed under the name Gallus gallus (chicken). RNAcentral's name for it is "long non-coding RNA NONGGAT006773". Lineage: Eukaryota; Metazoa; Chordata; Aves; Galliformes; Phasianidae. The record is from RNAcentral.
UGAAGAGGGAGCAAGUGAGUAUUGAAGGCAUAACUAGAAGCAGAAGAUACAGACCAAGUAAAAGAGGAAGGCAGGGUUUUAUGUGUUAGCAUGGGUUUAUAAAGAAAUCUGUGCUUAGAUUUGUUUGUGAAUCCCUUUUGGACUGGUACAACAGGGUCAGUUUGUCAUCUUUUGGUGACAGCUAGCUCCUAUGGCUUGUGUCCAUGCAUAGCGUGGUUUACUAGCUGGCUAGUGUGGACAGAGAUGGAUACUUUGUGCUGGUUUUGGUUAGCCUUGGUCCUCUCUGUUUUUAUACACCUAUUUAGUUUUACAUUUCAUUCUCUUUUCUUCCUUAGAUCUCACCCAAGGAUGUAAGUAACUGUAACCUGUUUGACUGGUUCUGCUUCCUGAUGUUUCACAUGCACUGAGCUGUCACAGAAUCUUCUGCCUGCAGUGCAGCUGUGUGGCCGUCUCCUCCAGUCCUUCUGUUUUCUGUGGAGCCACUACAGGAGAUCAGCUUAGGCUUUCUAGGGUAUAUUUGUAAGGAUUCAGUUAAACAAAAAGGUUUGUGUGACAAAGCGCAGUUACAGCAACAGAAUACUGCUGCUGUGAAUGCACAUGCUGUACACAAGAUCUAGUGAGAUCGAGUACGUUGAUCACGAAGACGUUGUUUCAGUCGUAUAUAUUGUUUGGUUAUAGGACCUUAGUUAGAAGACAGGUAUUUUGGAGUAAUUAUAUUUGAUGUCACAAAAUACCAGUCUUUCACUGACAUGCUUUUGCUUUUUCCUUUCUGCUCCAGCAUACAGCACAGCUGUGAGAGGAGAGACACUUAUCAAAAAAACACAUGGUUGGGAAUAAUCUUCCCUGCCCGCUGAAUGUGCUGUGCUUGAAAAAAGGGAGAUUUCAAAUGUAGGGAAAAAUCCUGACUCUUCAAGUCCUAUAUUUCUGGCAGCAAUUAUUGCUAUCCUGAAUCUGCAGAAGGUUGCAGAAAGGAGCAAUUAUUGCUGAAACAAACUCUCCCU